AGCAGCCGCGGUAAUUCCAGCUCCAAUAGCGUAUAUUAAAGUUGUUGCAGUUAAAAAGCUCGUAGUUGAAUUUCGGGAUCAGUUGGUCGGUCGUGCCUCGGUACGUACUGGUCAAAUUGAUUCCUACCUUCUGACGAACCACGAUGUCAUUAAUUUGGUGUCGCGGGAAAUCAGGACUGUUACUUUGAAAAAAUUAGAGUGUUUAAAGCAGGCUCGCGCUUGAAUACAUUAGCAUGGAAUAAUGAAAUAGGACGUUUGAUUCUAUUUUGUUGGUUUCUAGGAUCGACGUAAUGAUUAAUAGGGAUAGUUGGGGGCAUUAGUAUUCAAUUGUCAGAGGUGAAAUUCUUGGAUUUAUUGAAGACUAACUACUGCGAAAGCAUUUGCCAAGGAUGUUUUCAUUAAUCAAGAACGAAAGUUAGGGGAUCGAAGACGAUCAGAUACCGUCGUAGUCUUAACCAUAAACUAUGCCGACUAGGGAUCGGAUGAUGUUAAUUUUUUAAUUGACUCAUUCGG
Molecule: unclassified non-coding RNA, 513 nt
Filed under: uncultured Glomus
Lineage: Eukaryota; Fungi; Glomeromycota; Glomeromycetes; Glomerales; Glomeraceae
Description: SSU rRNA
Rfam family: Eukaryotic small subunit ribosomal RNA
Source: RNAcentral